This 253-nucleotide ribosomal RNA is filed under the name uncultured bacterium. RNAcentral's name for it is "partial 16S ribosomal RNA". It matches the Rfam family "Bacterial small subunit ribosomal RNA", at positions 524 to 776 of the family's 1533-position model. The record is from RNAcentral.
UACGUAGGGGGCAAGCGUUGUCCGGAAUCAUUGGGCGUAAAGAGCGUGUAGGCGGCCCGAUAAGUCCGCCGUGAAAGUCCAGGGCUCAACCCUGGGAUGCCGGUGGAAACUGUCGGGCUAGAGUCCGGAAGAGGCGAGUGGAAUUCCUGGUGUAGCGGUGAAAUGCGCAGAUAUCAGGAAGAACACCAGUGGCGAAGGCGGCUCACUGGCCCGGUACUGACGCUGAGGCGCGAAAGCGUGGGGAGCAAACAGG